AUUGAACGCUGGCGGCAGGCCUAACACAUGCAAGUCGAGCGGAUGAAGGGAGCUUGCUCCUGGAUUUAGCGGCGGACGGGUGAGUAAUGCCUAGGAAUCUGCCUGGUAGUGGGGGAUAACGUCCGGAAACGGGCGCUAAUACCGCAUACGUCCUGAGGGAGAAAGUGGGGGAUCUUCGGACCUCACGCUAUCAGAUGAGCCUAGGUCGGAUUAGCUAGUUGGUGGGGUAAAGGCCUACCAAGGCGACGAUCCGUAACUGGUCUGAGAGGAUGAUCAGUCACACUGGAACUGAGACACGGUCCAGGCUCCUACGGGAGGCAGCAGUGGGGAAUAUUGGACAAUGGGCGAAAGCCUGAUCCAGCCAUGCCGCGUGUGUGAAGAAGGUCUUCGGAUUGUAAAGCACUUUAAGUUGGGAGGAAGGGCAGUAAGUUAAUACCUUGCUGUUUUGACGGUACCAACAGAAUAAGCACCGGCUAACUUCGUG
Molecule: ribosomal RNA, 484 nt
Filed under: uncultured bacterium
Lineage: Bacteria
Description: partial 16S ribosomal RNA
Rfam family: Bacterial small subunit ribosomal RNA
Source: RNAcentral